RNAcentral lists this unclassified non-coding RNA (260 nucleotides) under Hevea brasiliensis (rubber tree). Lineage: Eukaryota; Viridiplantae; Streptophyta; Magnoliopsida; Malpighiales; Euphorbiaceae. The record is from RNAcentral.
AUCGAAUUGGGGAAAAGACGAGUUCACGCAGAUGGCCAGUGCAUCGGUCAGCAUGUCCUUCCUUGCCUUUGUUGCUUUUGCUUUUAGUUCACUUAUCUCUGGUUACAACCUUUGUACACGCGAUCCUGCAUGAUAUUGAAAUCUCUGGCUUGUUCGUUUUUCCUUGAAAAGAGAAAAUUUUAUAUUGAUUGUCAACCCAAAAUUAUUCUUUUCUUUAUGUUGUACAGAGAUAUCAUAGCUUAGCUUUGACCUUACAAUAA